AAAAAUAAUAUAUAAUAAUAAAAAUGCUGAAGAAAAAAAAUAUUUUUUAACAUAUUAUUAAAUAUUUUAUGAAGAGUUUUUUUAUAUUUUUCGUAUAUUUUAUAAUUGUUAGGAUCUUAAUAUUAUUUCAUUUAAUUAUAAAUAAAUAAAUAUAUAUUUAUAUAUAAUAAUAUAUAUUUUAACCAUAAGUAUAUAUUUACAUAUUAUUAUCUUGCUUUUACAAUUUUAUUAAUUAUUUUAUAAUAUAUUCACAUGAAAAAAGUUUUUUAGAAUUCAAUAAUUCAUACAAUAAUAAAAACAACUUUUUUACCAUUUUAUUUUCAGUACGUAUAAAUACUAUUUUUCAAAAUUGGAAAUAAAAAACAAAGGAAAACCACGAAAAAAUUAUUAUGUUAAUAAUUUAUUACCCAUUUAACAAUUUAUUGUACCCCAAUAUAGGCAUGUUAAGUAAAAUAAGUGGGGGUAUACAUAUAUAAUAUAUAAUGAUAUGUGCAUUCUUUUUUUGAAUACAUUUUUAUUAUAUCGUUUAUAUAUAUAUCAAAUGAACAUAAAAUUGAACUACAUAAAUAUGCCACUUUUUCGUGAAGUCAAAUCUCAUGUUAAAAAUGUAAUUAACAUAAUUUGUGGAAUAUUUACUUAAUUGGUUGCUUUAUAUAUAAUAUAUAUAUAUAUAUAUAUAUAUAUAUAUAAUAUCUAUGAACUAAUCUAUUAUAUUGAAUGAAUAGUAUACAUUAAGAAAUGAAAAAAUGUUAGAAAAAAUCUACAUCGGUUUUUUCUUCAUUUUA
RNAcentral lists this small RNA (785 nucleotides) under Plasmodium reichenowi. Lineage: Eukaryota; Apicomplexa; Aconoidasida; Haemosporida; Plasmodiidae. The record is from RNAcentral.